AUGGCGUCCCGUCUCGCGUCCCGCCUCCUCCUCCGCCGCCCCGCCGCCGUAUUAAGUUUGCUCCAGAGUUCUAGACAUGCUAGACAUUUCAGCACUCAGUUACUUGAAGGUGUUCCGAGACUUCCAAAGCCAACAUGUGAACGCUAUUUCCUUCGAAAUGCUUCUCCUUAUCAAAUUUGGAGUAGAUCAUUUGCUUCAGAGAAUGGUGACUUGGUUGAAGCUGUUGUGCCCUUCAUGGGUGAAUCUGUCACUGAUGGAACCCUUGCCAAUUUCUUAAAGAAACCUGGUGAUAGAGUUGAAGCUGAUGAGGCGAUAGCUCAGAUUGAAACUGACAAGGUUACAAUAGAUGUUUCCAGUCCAGAAGCUGGGGUAAUUGAAAAGUUCAUUGCCAGUGAAGGUGACACUGUUACUCCAGGUACCAAAGUUGCCGUGAUAUCUAAGUCUGCUGCUCCAAGUGAGGCCCAUGUUGCACCAUCUGAAGAGACCUCCCAGAAGGAGACCCCUCCACCACCUCCUCCAGAAAAACCUAAGGUCGAGGCAAAAUCACCAAAAGUAGAAUCUGUCAAACCACAGGCGUCAAAACUAGCCUCCCCCUCAGAACCUCAGCUCCCUCCAAAGGAAAGAGAGAGACGGGUGUCAAUGCCAAGGCUCAGGAAGCGUAUAGCAAAUCGUUUGAAGGAUUCUCAGAACACUUUUGCACUACUGACUACAUUCAACGAAGUUGACAUGACCAAUUUGAUGAAGCUGCGGACUGACUACAAAGAUGAGUUUGUUAAGAAGCAUGGUGUCAAAUUGGGUCUGAUGUCCUGCUUUGUUAAGGCUGCUGUUUCUGCGCUUCAAAAUCAGCCAAUUGUUAAUGCUGUUAUUGAUGGCGAUGACAUCAUCUACAGAGACUACAUUGAUGUUAGUGUUGCUGUUGGCACUUCCAAGGGUCUUGUGGUGCCAGUUAUCCGUGAUACGGAAGGAAUGAACUUUGCUGACAUUGAGAAGGGGAUAAACAGCCUUGCAAAGAAGGCAACUGAGGGGGCAUUAUCAAUUGAUGAGAUGGCAGGGGGAACCUUCACAAUCUCAAACGGCGGUGUCUAUGGAAGUCUUAUCAGCACACCUAUCAUCAACCCUCCACAGUCAGCAAUUCUUGGAAUGCAUUCUAUUGUCCAACGCCCUGUGGUUGUGGAUGGCUCCAUCCUUGCGAGGCCAAUGAUGUACCUUGCACUGACAUAUGACCAUAGGCUGAUAGAUGGCAGAGAAGCUGUCCUGUUUCUGCGCCGCAUCAAGGACGUGGUUGAAGAUCCACGGAGGUUGCUCCUUGACAUAUAG
RNAcentral lists this ribosomal RNA (1317 nucleotides) under Triticum aestivum (bread wheat). RNAcentral describes it as "partial small subunit ribosomal RNA". The record is from RNAcentral. Lineage: Eukaryota; Viridiplantae; Streptophyta; Magnoliopsida; Poales; Poaceae.